This 69-nucleotide transfer RNA is filed under the name Calacta lugubris. RNAcentral describes it as "tRNA-Ser". It matches the Rfam family "tRNA". From Rfam's summary of the family: Transfer RNA (tRNA) molecules are approximately 80 nucleotides in length. Their secondary structure includes four short double-helical elements and three loops (D, anti-codon, and T loops). Lineage: Eukaryota; Metazoa; Arthropoda; Insecta; Hemiptera; Plataspidae. The record is from RNAcentral.
AGCCAAUAAGUCUUUUAAAGACUUUUACCUUGAAAGUUUAAAAAGGGAGUUCAAUCCUCCCAUUGGCUU